UGCCCAUUAUUCUGGCUUCCCCAUGAAAACCUUCUAGAAUGCUGGCUCGGAUCACAAAGCACAAAGCAGUGCCUGUUCAUCCUUUUGGCUGGCUGGCUGAGUUGAGCACAGGGUCACUCAUUUUCCACAGACAUUCAGUGGCCCAUGCUGAAUUUAGUUUGGUGGAAAAGACAUCUUCCCCUGUGCUGGACAGUGUGCUUGGGACUCCUGCGUGUUCUUCAGCUACUGUGACAGAAUGUCAUGAGGGGAGGCUGGAGCUGUGGCUCUGUCUAUUUUGCAAAGGUGAAGAAUCUUCUCAUCAACCUACCUCAAAGGUGUUCUUGGUCAUGCCCGAGAGACCAUAAUAUGACGUUCCUGUGGCAACUGCACAGACACAGAGCUCCCCAAUUUCAUCCGUCCUGCACAGCUGAGGCACCCCAUCCGGCUUCACUGAACACAUGAUGGCUAAAGAACGCUAUACUGAUUGAUUAACAUGGCUUGCUGGGGUUUGUUGAGCUUUUGGUCUGAAGUUUGGAAGAAAUCCAAUAGAAGGUUGUUGGCACUGGUAAGUACCAUAGGCUAUUUAUCAUAACGUGAUGAAGGAUACACAUGUCAGGUUGGAGGAAGCAUGCUGACCUCCUACAUCUUUCUUUCUUAUGUCAUUAUUGUCAUGUGACAAUAAUCUCAACUAAUCCUAAUCAUCCUCCAAAGGCCUUGUCUCCAGACACUAUUAACACAUAGAUUAGGGGACCAAGUUUCUCCCAAAACCCAAAAUACAGAACUCAGUAAACAAAUGUAUCCUACAGGAAGCCGGAGCAUAAGGAUUUGACUUCCUGAUGUCACCUACCUGACCCUCAUGUAAACAGAGAUGAACGCAUACAGACACAGAGAGAUGAGUUUAUGGGCUCCUCUUGCUACUUCCUGUUCUUUAACAGCAACAUGCCAUAUUAAUACUGCUCAUUCUGCUUGGAGACUCCCUUUCUCUGAGAACACCGACCAUUUUAGUCAAAGCCCUCAUCUGUGACUGGCAACCCCAGUGGAGACACACUACCCUAUGGCUGGCUGUCAUCUGCUCCACUUCCACAGCGUUCACCAGGGUCCUCUGCUGGCUCUUGGAAACAUCUCUGCAUUCUGUCCAUCCCCCAAGCAGGGUACUAGAGGCCUCAUUCAUUAUACAUGACCUAGAACCUUCAAAUACGGUCUCUUUUGAGCAAGAGGCAUUCAGUAUUUUUACAAGAAAAAACCCACAGUAAGAUACUCAACAGUGGACCAUGGUUACCACAUCACCAGGUCUGAAGCUUUGGGGAAGACUUGACUUUUCACAUCUCCAUAAAUCUGCAUGUCCUCACUGGAACCCAUGGCCAAGCCACAGGGGCCACCUAAACAGCUUUCUUAUAACUCUCCCAGCCAAUUUAAUUUGUGAUCCGACCCCCUCUUCUUUUUUUUAAAAAGAACUACAAACUGAUAGAUGUGCCAAAGGCCAAACCAAUCUGCCAAGAGUGCACAAAUGCAUCCGCAAUUUUACCUUCACUGAUUACCAUAGAUAAUAAGCAUCUUUUAAUUAAGUGGACUAAAAGCCAGGCAAGCAAUCAGCUGUACUGAUGUUUACUGGAAGUUCAAUUUCUCUUUCAUUACCAAAGCAGAAUAAGCUGUCCCUGGAAGAUUAUUAAACAUGGGACACAAUUUGGUUUAGAUGACAACAUAGAAGAAAUGUCAGUCCUAACCACUUCAAGCCAGAGUAAUUAGUCCUCUGAAGUCUUUUUUCUACAACAGAACAGAAAAUCUAAUAGCCAAAUACUUGUUUUCCUUUAAAAAUCGCAAGUAUUAUGCAAAAUACACAUAAUUAUAUGGAUGGUCAACUUGAUUGGAUUAUGAAACACUUUGGAUACUAGUAAGACACACCUUUGGGUAUGUCCAAGCGGUCAUAUCCAGGGUGGAUUAACUGAAGAGAGAAGUUAAAUAGAAGAUCCUCCUUAAAUGUGGACAGUACCAUCCCAUGGGCUGGGAUCCCAGACUGAAUCAAAGGGGAGAAAAUGAGAGAGCAGAGUCCCAUUAUUCCCUGCCCUCUGCUUCCUGGUCUUUUGAGAAGUGAGCAAGCAGCUGUUUCAUGUUCCUAUCACCAGGCAGCUGCCUAUGACCAUGAUUUUCCUACCAUGAUAAGCCAUGACCCCUUAGACCAGGAACCAAUGUGAUUAUCUCCUUUAAGUUGCUUCUGGUUAGGUAUUUAACAAUGAAAGCAUUGAAAACAAUUCACCAUGAGCAUUCUAACCCCUUCUAUACUGUGCUAUACAACAUUCUUUAAGAAAGUCCCCUUUUAUCUUUAUACUAAAAUCUUUAAUGAAGCUUUUCACAGCCCCACAUAAAAUAGUUUCAUAGGAUAUAUCAAAGUUCUUUUCUUUAACCUAGUAAUUUAGCCUCAGAACUCUUGCAUAUGAAAAAUUCAUGUCAAGUCUUCAGAGAAUGUUUUGGAGAAGGUGGUAUGCCAUCAGCACAAAUGCAGUGAAAGUCACUUAUGUCAGCUCAUUUCCCCAAAACAGUAAUCCAUAUCAUCCUAUACAUAGCACACAACAUUCACAUGAGACAUCAGCCAGAGGACACUUUUCUAUGUUCACAUAUUAUAGAAACAACCCACAGAGAAUGUUACAAUGAAUGCCAAGUACGUACACUACUGCCAUCGAAUAUAUCCAGGAACAGAUUGAAUAAAGAGUGAGAAGAAACAGAGUUUAAACUGAGAAACUUCUCAUAACAGCCAAUUUACGGAAAUAACCUAGGAGUCUAACGAUAGAGCAAAGCAAAAGAAAGUGUGGCAUACAUUCACAGUAGGAUUGCUUUAUUGCCACAAAAAAGAGUAAUCUUAGGUUGUAUGGAAGCACAGCUUAGGACGAGCAUUGGAGAAACCUGGAUUGUCAAUUACAGGUCUAUUUUUUUCGACAGAAGGAAAUGACACCUACUCACCUGGAAUACCAGAGAGAAAACUGGUCUGUCAACCUGGUUACUCUUUGCUUUUCUAUUAGGAGCCAGCCUCUACCAGAAAUCCCCAAUAUCCUGAGCAUUGCUCAAGGCCCUAAUCCUGAAGUUAAUAAAACUCAUAUACACUAUGAAUGAGGCCCCAAGCAUAUUGCAUCCUUCACAAAUAGAAUCUAUCCCUAUGUUUAACACAGAUCCUUCCCCUAGGCCAACCAUUCUCAAUCUGUGGGUCACGACCCUUUUGCGGGGAGGGUCACACAUCAGACAUCCCACAUAACUGAUAUUUACAAUUCAUAACAGUAGCAAAAUUAUGAAGUAGCAACAAAAUAAUUUUAUGGUAAGGAUUACCAUAAUAUGAAGAACUGUAUUAAAGGAUCACAGCAUUAGGAAAGUUGAAAACCGCUGCUCUAGGCCCUAUCCCUGAACUCUGUCUAUCAGUCAAUAGAAUUCAUUCUAUUGUAAGGGUCACAGGUUACAAGUUCUACUAUGUUUAAAUGUAUAAUAAAUCAUUAAGGUCAGUCUCUAGAAAGAUACAACCCAGUGCCUGUAAAGGUGGUACACUGCCUUCAGUUUUACUCUUCACCUCUAGUGGAUAGUUUCCCUACAGGCUGGGAAGCUUGCAGGGUAGAAGGGCAGGGGGAUAAGAGUUGGGGGAGUAGGAGGUAUAUAAGGAGGUAUUCCCACAAAGUUAUUUGUAAGAAAAAUCAAUGCAACUGGAGAUAAUCACAUUAAAUAAAGUUAGUUGGUCUCAAAGGACAAAUACUUUGUUUUCUUGUUUGUGGUUCCUAGAUUUUAUAUAGUCAUAUAAAGGAAUAUAUAUAUAUUAAUUAAAUGAAAGGAGAAGUAAUGUUUAAGGGAACAAAAGGCUUAAUUGGAAUAAGGAGGGUUGAAGAAAGGAAGAUUGGAAGAACAGGGUGGGGAGCAGAAUGCAUUCAAAGUAUGAAAUAUAUCUUUAAGAAAAUAAAUACAUUCAAUGCUGAAAGGAGUUAUCUCUUGCAGUCAGUUGUCUCAGGAGUGUAAUCCCAGUAGUUAAUUAAAAAGUUCAUCCGCUUACAACACCAUCAUUAGUUUAAACAUGCAUAAGAAUUAAGCAAGGAAGCAGCUCUUUUGGUAAGACUGAAGAAUGUGAUCAGAAUACAAGGGAAAUGCCAGAGACUAGGCCUGGGACUCAAAGAAAAACUUAGAUGUUUUUUAUAGUUUUUCCUGAUUCAACUUUAAAAACUAAAAUCAUAGCUUAUCUAUUUCUGGUCUUUAAUUUGCUCCUGAACCUUGGGAUCGAUGUCAAUCAGAAAGCUGGGGCAUUUGAUAACAUCACUACCCAAACAGGGAGGAGGAAAGCGGAGAAGGGCCAUUACCUGCCAUGUCCAAAAACCUGUCAUGACAGUGUACCCAUAGGCCAUGGAGUUACGUGUGUCCAAAGCUGGGGAAAUUAUGCAAACACUUCUUUCUGGUUCAUUAUUUCUUUCUAUAAACUAGACAACCAUGGACGUUCCACAGCUUUAUAGGACAAUGUGAAGUCCUCUCCCUGGUAGGGCCCUCACGGCUGGAGAUCCUGCACGUGUUCACCACUCCGCAGCAAUGCAAUGAGUCCUUUCUUUUGCCCAGAGUGUGACUGAGAGCAAACCUCCUCAGGCAGUCACCCAAGACCUCUACCCACUAGUUCUCCCCCACCAAAGUGUCCUCUGGAUAGGCUGGGAGGCUGCAGACAGCUGAUGGCAUAGCACACUGCAUUCAUGCUGGAGCUGAUUUUCACAAGACCAUGACACAAGAAUCGUCAGCCUAUAGGCAACACACUACGUCAUUUGGUGAAAUAGAAGCAAAUAAAUAAAAAUACACGAUGGCACACCGUUCCACUGUGUAAGCUGUAAACAAUGUUCAUAAAGUAUGUAUAAACUCCCAAGAAAAAGCAUGGUCCACAACAGCCUCUCCUAGAAAAUGAUGUAGGGUUAUCACACAUAUAGGAGGGAAUGGAAAGUAUGUAUAUUUGAAUACUAUUUUUACUCAUUUAUCUAAAAGUAAUUAGGUACCAACUAGCUACAAGGUAGAGGGACCCAGAAAGGGAUGAAUAAAUGUACCAGUAAGUGGCGCGGCCACUGAGUGAAGUCAGUAAUUCUUGGCAACAGCAGAGCUAGAGAGGAAGGCUCUGCAAGUAUGGAUGGAGUGGCCAGGUCACCUAGGCUGAGUGGAAAGGUGGUGAACUUGGAGAGUGCCUUGAGGAUUAGAAGGGGGAAGGUAUGCUUCUCCAGACUCAUCUAAAUGAGAUACCUGAACCUGCCCCGGCCUUGGGCUGAGUGUGGUUGGUGAAAGGGAGGGAGGGAGGAGACCAGUUAGAUAAAUUAUCAAACACUUUCAAUAGUACAAGGGCAUUUACAUGCUUAUUCUACUAAAAACACUAAGCAGGAAUGAAUACUGGUGACUAAUGCUUUAAUGAGAAUCACAUCCCGAGUGCCUCCCACGUGUUACUGACAUGAAAGCAACACUGUAUGGUAAGAACGGGGAGACAGGAUACCCAAAACAACAGGUGGCAUCUGGUCCUCAAGGACUCCUGGAUCAGAUCCCAAGUCUUGGUGAAUGGUGAGAACUACCAAAGAUGACAGGCAAGAGAAAGACAGACAGUAGACUGAGUCUCCACAAGCCACCAGGUUGCCCCUCAUGACCACGCCUGACACUAGCAACAGCUGUGACGAGGCUUACUAGGAAGCAGAGGUACUACAGUGUGCAUUUACAGGGGAAGCCCUAUUGUUUUAAGGGCCUUGGUCCACAUACAUAAUUGACACAACCAGAAAGUCAGCAGGCCUUAUAAUAUGACUCCUUUAUAAAAUAAAAGUAUUGGUGAAGUUUAAAAUAAAAUUGCUAUGGAGAAGAAAAUGGCUUAGAUGUGAAAGUGUUUGCCAUGGAACCUGCUGUUCUACUCCAGGACUUACAGAUACAAUGGCAAGUAUCUGUAAACCCAGUACCCUUCGAGUGAGACAAAUCAGCAGGAAGCUUAUGGGCUGGCUAGCCUGGAGUAUGCAUCACAGAAAGGACCCUGCCUCAACAUGAUAGCAGGAAACUGAUGCCCAACAGUUGCCCCUACAUGCAGGCUGUGAUAUAUGCAUCACGGUUCAUGUGCCCUCUCUUAGACGAUAAUGAAAGACAAAAGGCAAACACUUAGAAGAACAAACUAUAACAUAGUGAACUCUAGGGAACUCAUAUCAAACCCGACUGAAAACUCAUUAAAGACACAGCUGCAUUUUUUCUAUGUUUUAAAAACACUGACAUGAUAGUACUGAGACAAAUGUAAGCAGUACAAUGUAGAACCCCUACCCUGAUCUCACUCUCCUACCCUUAUGCAAUGAAUGAGGACCUUUCCAUGUUACCAUUCUGGCCUUCCAUGAAGGUCCUGGACAGACACCUCUCUACCUGGUCAGGAACCAAGGGCCCUUCACUGGCUCUCUUGGGCCCUGGGCCAACCUCUCUGACAGAAGUGUAAAGGAAGGACACAGGAAAGUUCAAGAAGAAAGUGCAUAGCAAUUCCCACAUAACCAAAGGAGGAGAGAGGAAAUGGUCAGUUCCUCUACAUCCUUCAUCCAUGAUGUUAGUCUUGAAAUAAUCUCAUCAGAAAUUGGAAGUGAGGAUGCUAAAUAGAAGAGACAUGUAAAACUAAAUUGGGACAUAGCUGAUGAAAUAAGUUUUCCCACCCAUAAGAUACAAGUGCUACUGAAUAGAAGCAUUAGCCAAAGCAGAAACUAGUAAAUAAUAAUAUAUUAAUAAUAAUAAUAAUAAUAAUAAUAAUAAUAAUAAUAAUAAAAGUAACCUAAAGUCUGUCAGAAGACGUCUCAAUUCCAGCAGUCACUACAGAACUCCUUUAAGAGACAGGACUGACCCUGGACUCUGACCUCAUAGGUAGCAAUGAAUAUCCUAGUAAGAGCACCAGUGGAAGGGGAAGCCCUGGGUCCUCUCAAGGCUGGACCCCCCAGUGAACGGGAUUCUUGAGGGGAGGGUGGUAAUUGGGGGAGGAUGAGGAGGGGAACACCCAUAUAGAAGGGAGGGGGAGGGGUUAGGGAUGUUGGCCUGGAAAAUGGGAAAGGGAAUAACAUUUGAAAUGUAAAUAAGAAAUACCCAACUUAAUAAAGAUGGAGAAAAAAAAAAGAGAGACAGGGUAAGUAGCACAUCAUCUCAAAAUCAAACAUGUUGCUGACAUGUGGGGAAUAUCUGACUUGCCUAGAGAUAUGCAUGUGUAGAGAAUGUGAAUGUGUAUUAUUAGUGUGGAGUAGGGUAUAUGAUGUCCCUUUUGAAGUAAGCUAAUUGUGAUGCUAGGUUUUUGGUGGGGUUUCAUUCAUGGACAACACUAGGAACACUGAGAUUUCUAAAACACUGUGCACUUACAAACAGCACCUGGCCAAAAUGGCGAAUGCUUGCUGUACCUGAAAACCUGGGUCUUACAGAUUCCCAAACACAUGCUGGCAGAUGUAUUUUCGGUUAAAGCAAACACAAUUGAUUAAGAAGAGGGUAUUCUUAACAGCAACUCCACUUGGCUGCUCUCUGAGGAGCUCCUGAGAGACUAGGCAGUGUCUGUUACUUGGAGUGCAUUUGACAUCAUCAUGGUGUGUCGGGGGUAGAAAUGUAGGACAUUUAUGUAGAAAUGCUUCUGGUUGUACUAGUUUGAAGUUGUAUACAAGAUGUACAUUAAGUUUAUCCAAAUGAAUAUUUGUACUAUUCAAAGUUUUCAUACAGUAUUUGCUUUGAUGAGUAAUUUUCCAGUUAGCUCUUUAUCAUUUAUCCACUUUAUAUAAACACUGCUCAAAUUGCACCAUCAAGUCUACUUUAAUUUUUUCUCUGCAGACUUCAGGUGCUCUAGAAGCAUGCCAAUUCAGCUAGACUGGCUAGAUGACACGCCCCAGCAUCCCCCUUCCCUGCCCUCCCAGCUAUGGGGUUACACAUGUGCACCUCCAUGCCAGCUUCUGUGGGUGCCACAGGUCUGAACGCAGGGCUGCAUGCUCACGUAGCGUCACUUUACCCGCUGAUCGGCUCACCAGGCCUAUGGAGCAGUCAUUUUCAGUGGAAGCUAUGAAAGCUGUGAUUUUGUUAAAUAGAUUUCUUAGUGACACUUCUACACUUGAGCUUCUUCCUAAAUGCCGGGGUAACAGUACAGGCUUGGUUUUUAAAAAGCUCUCCAAAUAGGUUUAAUCCAUGGGACAAAAAUUAAACGUCUGUCCAGUUUUAAGCCAUUAUGAAUUUAUAUGAAACCAUCUUCCAGAAAAGCUGACAGAUACCCAGAUGUACCAUAGAGAAUGUGGUGAGGAACAGGAGCUAAUGAUAAUUUCACUGGCAAAUCUGAAUUGAAUUACUUAUAUAUAAAACAGCAAGCCAUUCGGUAGAGGUUAGUAAUCAGGAUAUUGUUUUGAUCAUUAUAGACAAAGCUUGUCUGUACACAUUAUUCUAGAAACCAUUAGAAGUCACAGAAAACCAUACUGUUUCUCCCAUGAGGUUAACUAAGUUGCCCAAAAAGAUAUGUUAUGUGUAACUCAGCAACAAGACAACUGUCAGUGCCACUGAGAGGAGCCUAGGAGUCUGUAGCAACCUUCAUUUUGGCUGAACCAGUUAUAAGUCAUCAACCCAGAUGCAAGCCAUACUUGAAUGUGACUGCUGUCUGACCCACACACAGUUCUAAUUUAUCCUGAGCUUUUUCGGAAACUAAAUACCACAUCUUAUUUUUGGAAAGAUUAUUUCUGUUUGUAAAGGCUGAGGCUUUGAAAAUACUUUUCAAAAAAAAAAAAAGGAAAUUAAAAUACAAAUAGGCCUAACUUUUCAAAAGCACAUACAUACGACACAUACAAUAUGAGUUCCAGCACAGCACAAGGUAGUGUGGACUCUUAGCAUUAUAGGAACCCCAUAGACCUCUUGGAGCAGGCAUCACUGGUUCUUAUUCUGAGCAUGGAGUCUCUCUCUGGACCCGCAGCUCACCAAUUUGGCUAGACUGGCUGGCCAGAAAGCACCAAGGUUUGCUUGUCUCAAACUCGCCAGCAUUGGGCUGUAGCUGUGGACCACUGCAUCCAGCUGUUACACAGCUGUGAGGAGCUGAGCUCAGACCAUCAUGUCUGUGUGGCAAGCCCAUCACCAACUAAGCUAUCUAAGGCCUUCACUGAUUCUUUGUUGCACCAUAGGCAAGUGUGUUUCUCCAAGUUUGCAUAUCAUCCAAAAAUUACUCACGGCAUUAUUUAGAAAUAAAGUGUUAGUUUCAGAAACUAUACUAUAAUUUUUAACAUUACUCAGACUGCUACUUUAAGGGUUUCUAGUCUGGGUUGAUGAAAGACAGUUUUGCCAGAUAUGGUGGUACACACCUGUAAUCCUGGCACUUAUGAUACCCUGAAGUUCAAAGUCAGUCUGGGCUACACAGCGAGUCUAAAUCCAAUGUUAUAAUAAAAAUGAUAAAAAUGUAAAAGAAAUAGUUUCAUCUCUGGUUACAUGCACUUAUAUUUCUGAAAUCCAUCAUGAAGAGAUAAUUAUCAUUUGUUGUACUUGUGAAUGCUUCAUGUGGAUAAAACACUUAAAACCCUAUCUUUUCAGAGUUGGGAAAGAACUAUGAUGGUGGAAUGCUUGUCAAAUAGGUGGAAUCCUAGGUUUAACCCUCAAUACCAUCAAAAAGCAAAUAAAAGACAUGCCUAUACAUGUUUUACAAGUUGAGAAUCUCUGACCCAAAAUGCUUGGAAUAAGAAAUGCUCUGAAAUUUGGCCACUGCCUUGAUUUUCAAAAUCUUCAUACGCACAAUAUUUUGGCAUGGGAAAUAUGUAUAAGCACAACAUUUGUUUAUAUUAUAUAUAUUAUUCCUAUAGUGCAAAAAUAAUUCAACAUGUAUUUAAAAGUUGUGUAUGAAAACAGUAGGUAUAAAUUGAGGUUUUAGAAAAGAGGAGUCAUCAUUUUAGUCACCCAUAUAGAUGAUCUGUGAUUGUCUGGUGUCACCAUCACUUCUCUCUGCUACCAACAAGCAACAACAUUUGCACGAUUACCACAGGUAAGUAUUUAGCAGUACAAAAUAGGGCACCCCAUUAUUACAGGAAACAAUGACUGUGUCAGCAUAAGUAAUAUGCCUAUUGUCCUCAAUCUCUGUAGCACCUGUCAGCAGUCAACAAUGGCAGCCAGCUACCCCCACCUGCGAAGGGUUUUUUGUUUUGUUUUUUAAAAACAGAAAAGUGACCACACAUUUUGUUUGGUAGGAUGCAUCAGAAGCAGCAGGAAGUCAGCAAGAAUCUUCUCCAGGAACAAGAAGGCAGCUGCCAGAUGUGUGCUUAAAAUGUUUCCUCUGGAGCCAUUGAUCUCAUGAACAGGAAUCUGAUAGAUGUAUCGUAUAGCCACAAAUGACUGCUGUUUAGUCAGUCCAUCUCGCCUUCUCACCACGCCAUCGUUGGCACUUCUUAGUAUUAUGGCUACCACUAACACCACAAUCACCUCUUCUACCAUCUUCCAUAAAUGGGCAACUGGAGCCUCUGAUGGGAAAAAAAAGCUCAAUAUCCACUUCCUCCAGCUGA
Molecule: non-coding RNA, 10454 nt
Organism: Rattus norvegicus (Norway rat)
Lineage: Eukaryota; Metazoa; Chordata; Mammalia; Rodentia; Muridae
Source: RefSeq, a predicted model, not a curated record